Molecule: ribosomal RNA, 499 nt
Filed under: uncultured bacterium
Lineage: Bacteria
Description: bacterial SSU rRNA
Rfam family: Bacterial small subunit ribosomal RNA
Source: RNAcentral
AAAGGAAUUGACGGGGGCCCGCACAAGCGGUGGAGCAUGUGGUUUAAUUCGACGCAACGCGAAGAACCUUACCAGGUCUUGACAUCCUCUGACAGCCUCAGAGACGAGGUCUUCUGACUUCGGUCAGACAGAGAGACAGGUGGUGCAUGGUUGUCGUCAGCUCGUGUCGUGAGAUGUUGGGUUAAGUCCCGCAACGAGCGCAACCCUUGUUCUUAGUUGCCAACAGAUGAAGCUGUGCACUCUAAGGAUACUGCCGGUGACAAACCGGAGGAAGGUGGGGAUGACGUCAAAUCAUCAUGCCCUAUAUGACCUGGGCUACACACGUGCUACAAUGGCCUAUACAAAGGGUAGCGAAGCUGUGAAGCGGAGCCAAUCCCAAAAAGUAGGUCUCAGUUCGGAUUGCAGGCUGCAACUCGCCUGCAUGAAGUCGGAAUCGCUAGUAAUCGCGGAUCAGCAUGCCGCGGUGAAUACGUUCCCGGGCCUUGUACACACCGCCCGU